GGGGGUUUAGCUCAGUUGGUAGAGCACCUGCUUUGCAAGCAGGGGGUCACCGGUUCGAAUCCGAUAACCUCCACCA
Molecule: transfer RNA, 76 nt
Filed under: Pseudoflavonifractor sp. 60
Lineage: Bacteria; Bacillati; Bacillota; Clostridia; Eubacteriales; Oscillospiraceae
Description: tRNA-Ala
Rfam family: tRNA
About the family: Transfer RNA (tRNA) molecules are approximately 80 nucleotides in length. Their secondary structure includes four short double-helical elements and three loops (D, anti-codon, and T loops).
Source: RNAcentral